GACGAACGCUGGCGGCGUGCAUAAUACAUGCAAGUAGAACGCAGUUGCGAACGGGUGAGUAACGCGUAGGUAACUGCCUGGUAGCGGGGGAUAACUAUUGGAAACGCUAGCUAAUACCGCAUACUACCAGAUGGACCUGCGUUGUAUUAGCUAGUUGGUGAGGUAACGGUUCACCAAGGCAACGAUACAUAGCAGACCUGGGAUUGGGGUCGGUCCAACUGGUACUGAGACACGGCCCAGACUCCUACGGUAGGCAGUAGUAUGGAAUCGUCGGCAAUGGGGGGAACCCUGACCUGGCAACGCCGCGGGAGUGAAGAAGGUUUUCGGAUCGUAAAGCUCUGUUGUGAAGGGAGCGGUACUUAACCAGAAAGGGACGGCUAACUACGUGCCAGCAGCCGCGGUAAUAC
Molecule: ribosomal RNA, 407 nt
Filed under: uncultured bacterium
Lineage: Bacteria
Description: partial 16S ribosomal RNA
Rfam family: Bacterial small subunit ribosomal RNA
Source: RNAcentral